GUGCACCAGGCGCGAAACCUCCGCAAUGCGGGAAACCGCGACGGGGACCCCGAGUGCCGUGGCAACGCCACGGCUUUUCCGGAGUGUAAAAGCUCCGGGAAUAAGGGCUGGGCAAGGCCGGUGGCAGCCGCCGCGGUAAUACCGGCGGCCCGAGUGGUGGCCGCUAUUAUUGGGCCUAAAGCGUCCGUAGCCGGGCCCGUAAGUCCCUGGCGAAAUCCCACGGCUCAACCGUGGGGCUUGCUGGGGAUACUGCGGGUCUUGGGACCGGGAGAGGCGGGGGGUACCCCUGGGGUAGGGGUGAAAUCCUAUAAUCCCAGGGGGACCGCCAGUGGCGAAGGCGCCCCGCUGGAACGGGUCCGACGGUGAGGGACGAAGGCCAGGGGAGCAAACCGGAUUAGAUACCCGCGUAGU
Molecule: ribosomal RNA, 411 nt
Filed under: uncultured microorganism
Description: bacterial SSU rRNA
Rfam family: Archaeal small subunit ribosomal RNA
Source: RNAcentral